This 620-nucleotide ribosomal RNA is filed under the name uncultured Wolbachia sp. RNAcentral describes it as "bacterial SSU rRNA". It matches the Rfam family "Bacterial small subunit ribosomal RNA", at positions 94 to 749 of the family's 1533-position model. Lineage: Bacteria; Pseudomonadati; Pseudomonadota; Alphaproteobacteria; Rickettsiales; Anaplasmataceae. The record is from RNAcentral.
AGUGGCAGACGGGUGAGUAAUGUAUAGGAAUCUACCUAGUAGUACGGAAUAAUUGUUGGAAACGGCAACUAAUACCGUAUACGCCCUACGGGGGAAAGAUUUAUCGCUAUUAGAUGAGCCUAUAUUAGAUUAGCUAGUUGGUAAGGUAAUGGCUUACCAAGGCAAUGAUCUAUAGCUGAUCUGAGAGGAUGAUCAGCCACACUGGAACUGAGAUACGGUCCAGACUCCUACGGGAGGCAGCAGUGGGGAAUAUUGGACAAUGGGCGAAAGCCUGAUCCAGCCAUGCCGCAUGAGUGAAGAAGGCCUUUGGGUUGUAAAGCUCUUUCGGUGAGGAAGAUAAUGACGGUACUCACAGAAGAAGUCCUGGCUAACUCCGUGCCAGCAGCCGCGGUAAUACGGAGAGGGCUAGCGUUAUUCGGAAUUAUUGGGCGUAAAGAGCGCGUANGCUGGUUAGUAAGUUAAAAGUGAAAUCCCAAAGCUCAACUUUGGAAUUGCUUUUAAAACUGCUAACCUAGAGAUUGAAAGAGGAUAGAGGAAUUCCUAGUGUAGAGGUGAAAUUCGUAAAUAUUANGAGGAACACCAGUGGCGAAGGCGUCUAUCUGGUUCAAAUCUGACGCUGA